RNAcentral lists this ribosomal RNA (348 nucleotides) under Staphylococcus chromogenes. RNAcentral describes it as "bacterial SSU rRNA". It matches the Rfam family "Bacterial small subunit ribosomal RNA", at positions 1 to 338 of the family's 1533-position model. Lineage: Bacteria; Bacillati; Bacillota; Bacilli; Caryophanales; Staphylococcaceae. The record is from RNAcentral.
UUUAUGGAGAGUUUGAUCCUGGCUCAGGAUGAACGCUGGCGGCGUGCCUAAUACAUGCAAGUCGAGCGAACUGACGAGGAGCUUGCUCCUUUGACGUUAGCGGCGGACGGGUGAGUAACACGUGGGUAACCUACCUAUAAGACUGGAAUAACUCCGGGAAACCGGGGCUAAUGCCGGAUAACAUAUCGAACCGCAUGGUUCGAUAGUGAAAGACGGUCUUGCUGUCACUUAUAGAUGGACCCGCGCCGUAUUAGCUAGUUGGUGAGGUAACGGCUCACCAAGGCAACGAUACGUAGCCGACCUGAGAGGGUGAUCGGCCACACUGGAACUGAGACACGGUCCAGACUC